ACCAGCAUAGUGCAGUGGUUUGAGCACUGGACUACAACUCUGGAGACCAGGGUUCAAAUCUCUAUUCUGCCA
Non-coding RNA from Phrynosoma platyrhinos (Desert horned lizard), 72 nucleotides. The record is from the annotation of a GenBank genome assembly. Lineage: Eukaryota; Metazoa; Chordata; Lepidosauria; Squamata; Phrynosomatidae.